RNAcentral lists this long non-coding RNA (683 nucleotides) under Mus caroli (Ryukyu mouse). RNAcentral's name for it is "RIKEN cDNA G930045G22 gene (MGP_CAROLIEiJ_G0006337.1)". Lineage: Eukaryota; Metazoa; Chordata; Mammalia; Rodentia; Muridae. The record is from RNAcentral.
UGUUUCUGCUUACCAGGCCCUCGGUGCAGCAAAAGUGCUGUAGAGGACAUUUUGACAAAGAACAGAACAGGCAAACUAAGAACUGCCACAGGCUGAAGACCCCUAAGUGUCGUGUGUACCUGCACCCGGGUGGCAUGACCAGCUCUGUGGCUUGGUGAGAAGGAUUUGGCUCUCUCUGGCAAACUGGGUUUCCCCUCGCCCUGUUGCCUGGCACACAGCAGAUGGUCUGAUGUGAACAUCCAAGUGGAGAUCAUGAAGAUAUGCAGGAAAGACUCAGGUUCAUGAGUCUUCAUCAGUGGGAAUUGCAGAAACGUUUGAAAUUAGAUAUCUCUUGGAGGGCCACUUACCGGGCUAAUGUUCUGAGGAGAUCAUCUGUGGCUGUGUGUUGAAGCAGCUAGAGCAUCUCUCUGGAAGAGGCACUUCAGUAUGACCUGGGUUUGGUUCUAAGCAUCUACAUAGUAGCUUGCAGUUUGCAUCCAUUCACCCUCCAGUUCCAGGGCAUCUAACACCCUCUUCAGAAUGCCAAAGGAUGUCAAACACACGUGUGCAUGCAAACACAUUAACAUUAAAGAAAAAUGAUGACGACGAUGAUGAUGAUGACAAUGAUAAGGAAAGGAAGAAGAGGGAGGAUAAAAAGAGGAAGGAGGAGGAUAAAAAGAGGAAGAAGGAGGAGGAGAACCAAU